This 2334-nucleotide long non-coding RNA is filed under the name Lathyrus oleraceus (garden pea). Its description in RNAcentral is "Pisum sativum (pea) long non-coding RNA (PSAT_LNC022204)". The record is from RNAcentral. Lineage: Eukaryota; Viridiplantae; Streptophyta; Magnoliopsida; Fabales; Fabaceae.
CAAAAUCAAAAUCUAUUCAAGUAAAAAAAUCUUGAAAGAAAGUCGGCAACUACAAGACAAUAACACUGCAUAGUGUAGAAAUAAAGAGUAUUACCGUACUACUAUUAAAGAACACAAGAGGACCAUCUAUUAAUCAACUUGUUCAGUAUUUCAGUCAAGAAUGUCCUUUCUUCUUUAAAACGACGCCAUGCAUAUAAUUAAACACUUCGUUAAACAUGCCACGAUGUUUAUUUUGGUAAUUUUCUUUUACCCUAGUUACUAUUUCCUACUACUAUUUGAUAAGCAUUCCCUUCAAAUAACAUGGUGAAUAUUUUAAUUCAAGAUGAGUUUAUUAUUUAACAUCUCAAAGCCAAGUUUAAGCAUAGAGUUAUAAUACACUUCACAUGCUUGAGUAAUCCUUUUGGUAUACAAACAAACAUGGGUGCACUCUUUUCUCACUAAGCAUGGCCAACAUGACCCACACCACACCCUUUGUGAUAUCUAGAUCUCCUGCAGAUGUAAAAAAAACACACACAAUCUCAGCCAUUGAUUUGAGAUCAAACCUUCACUAAAUUAUCAUCACCAUUCAUUUCAUAUAUGGAAGUGUCAAAAUCAAUAACUACGUGACACAAUUAUUGUGACUUAUUUUCAACAUGGUCUAGCUAGCCUAUAACCCCACUACCUCAUAUCCUCACUCAAAAGCUGGCAUUAUUAGACAAACGCAUCUACACUGAAAGUGAUUGAAAGUGGAAUCCAAUGAAUAUACAGCUUCUUACUAUAAUAAAAAAAAAUAUAAAUUAUUUACAAGAUAAGAAGAGGACACAAAAUUUAGAUCUGAGCACUUUUCUUUGAGUGAAAAUGAAGUUCUUGUUUCAGUGUCCUUGUUGCUCAUGCUUUUGCUUCAUGAAGCCAAAGGCUGGGAAAGCAAAGGUGAAAGAAGUGAGCAAGGAAGCUAAAGCAACUAAGGAAGUGAAAGAAGUGAAAGAAGCUAAGAAGGAAGAAAAGAUUGAAGAAAAGAAAGAGUGACAACAUGUCAAAUGUAAUGUAACAACUCCAUUGCAAACUUUCUUUGGUUGUUUAAUUUUAGUGAUUAUUUUCCUAUGUUUGGUUAUCAACAAAUAUUAUCAUUAAGCAUGCACAGCAACAUGUGCAAUAUGCUUUGUGCUUCUUGGUGUUGAGCAUUGACAUGCUUUUUAUUAUGAGUUUGAAAAUGCUUCAAGUGGAAAAUAAAUUGCCAUUUCAAUAAUGAAUAUUUCCAUUAUAUGGUGAUCUAAUGUAGUCAAGCUCAUUUGAUAUCCGUGACAAGUAUGUUAGGUUUAUAAUGGUUACUAAUUUCUACUACUUUUAACUUUUGGGAUGAUAAUAGAAAAUGGGAGAUGGAACUAAAUAGUUGAUACAUAUGAUACAAUUUUUUUCUAUUGAAGAAGAAAUUAUACAUUCCUCUUCAAAUCCACCCUCCUCUAUUUAGAGGGGAAAAGUCACAUUUUAAUAUAAUAAAUAUUUUUAAUUUUCAAAAUUGAUCUAUUGUUAGAAAACUUAGAUUUAAGAAUGUGUUUCUCGCAAUAUAUUAAUAAUUUAUGUGUUGAAUAUAUAAAGAAUUUUGUUUUGAUUUCAAUUGAAUUGAUCUUGAAAGUUGAGUACAAAGUUUUUUUCCUAACUAGUAUAAUUUAACAAGUUAAAUAAUCGAUAUAUAUUCUUACCACUAAAAAUUUGACGCUUCUCUUUAUUGGGGUUCGCCGGACUUCUCAUAAAAUAUUGGUUUUCUCCUCGCACCUUUUGCAAGAUGGAUUUCUUUUAAAGAGAAUCGGUUUAAAGGGGGUGAUUAUUGAUUUUAGUGGGAUUUUUUGUUUGUUAUGUGGGAAUUUGGUUAAAUUGGUCUCUCAGUUUUUGUCACUUGUGAGUUAACUUUUUCUGUGUGGUAUAUGAUUUUAUGGUGGUCAAGUAUAGAGGCACUUAAUCGGUUAAUCCUCCUAGUGACCAUAUGAUUUUUUUUUAGUCUUGUUUUUCUCUAGAUGGUAGGGCCAAAUCUAGGUGGUAGGACAAAGUCUAAGGAUGAUUUUGUUAUGAUCGGACACGUAGUAUGAACUAUUUAGACUAUGUAGUUCAGGGGUGAACUCAUACACUUACUCUAACUGGUUUUAGAACCUUAUCCUCUACCUUAAUCAAUAACGGAUCGAAUAUUUGUCUUGGUUAGAUACUAAUAUGUUGUUUUUUAUCUCUUAAUAAAUUCCAAUCUCUUGAAGUUGAUUCUGGCAGUAUGAGAUGGUAUGAAUCUUACGAGAUUGGUCUGCUUAAACACGUUUAAGUGUCUAUUUUGUUUGAUUCACUCUUCUAUUGAUCGUAGUGUUUUUUCCG